Molecule: ribosomal RNA, 436 nt
Filed under: uncultured bacterium
Lineage: Bacteria
Description: partial 16S ribosomal RNA
Rfam family: Bacterial small subunit ribosomal RNA
Source: RNAcentral
AGCGAACGCUGGCGGCAGGCUUAACACAUGCAAGUCGAGCGGGCAUCCUUGUGGUGUCAGCGGCAGACGGGUGAGUAACGCGUGGGAACGUGCCCUUCGGUUCGGAAUAACUCAGGGAAACUUGAGCUAAUACCGGAUACGUGCGAGAGCAGAAAGGUUUAUCUGCCGAAGGAUCGGCCCGCGUCUGAUUAGCUAGUUGGUGAGGUUAUGGCUCACCAAGGCGACGAUCAGUAGCUGGUCUGAGAGGAUGAUCAGCCACACUGGGACUGAGACACGGCCCAGACUCCUACGGGGGGCAGCAGGGGGGAAUAUGGGACAAGGGGGGCAACCCUGACCCACCCCGGCCGGGGGGGUGAUGACGGCCUUGGGGUUGAAAAGCUCUUUUCCCCGGGAGGAAAAGGACGGUACCGGAGGAAUAACCCCCGGCAAACUCCGG